Penaeus chinensis is the source of this 680-nucleotide long non-coding RNA. RefSeq lists it as uncharacterized. The transcript is spliced from 3 exons. The record is from RefSeq and is a predicted model, not a curated record. Lineage: Eukaryota; Metazoa; Arthropoda; Malacostraca; Decapoda; Penaeidae.
AGCCUUGCGUCAGUCUGGCGUGGGCCAUUCUAUAGGACGGGUCGGGUGUGUCGCCCGUCUCUCCUCCGCUCCUUUGAAAGGAGAAAAUCCGCAUAUUUCGUUCCAUCAGUGCCGAUCUCGCUGAGAGAUAUGCACGCACAGUGAUCCUCUCAAUUGUAGUUUGAAGUGAUAAAAACCCGCCAUCCAUAGGUUGUCGAAGUUACAGCAGUGCGAGGCUGGGAAAAGUGUGUUGGCCGCGGCGUCAGGCAAGCCAGGCUCCCGGUACCGGCUGUAGUGUGUGAUAUUUGCCCUGUUAUGGUGUCCGCGGUGGUGUAAAACGUGCGAGUGGAUAAUUUGGAUAAGAGCUUCCCCUUCUCCCGACGAGGACGAGCUGUAGUCGCCGUAGCGUUGCAAGGUAGGACUGUGCUUCAUCUGAUGCAGCUGCUGAAAAAAGGUAAUAAGCUUGUGCUGGUGAUACAACUGCAGUAAAGGUGCGCAGGUAAAUAAACGCGUCUCAGUCAGAAAGCGAGGCUGUGACUUUCGUGCCUUGUAACAUAUAUAUUUCCUGUAUUCCUGUUGAUAAAACUUGAGAGGGUAGUCUCGGAGAAAGAGGAAGAAGGAGGAGAAGGGGAAGGAGAAGAAGAAGAAGAAGAAGAAGAAGGAGAAGGAGAAGGAGAAGGAGAAGGAGAAGGAGAAGGAGC